Pelobates cultripes (western spadefoot toad) is the source of this 307-nucleotide non-coding RNA. Lineage: Eukaryota; Metazoa; Chordata; Amphibia; Anura; Pelobatidae. The record is from the annotation of a GenBank genome assembly.
UUUUUUAAUUGGGGUAGCCCCCAAAAUAUUGGGGCAUAUAAAAAAAAAGACAACUCUGUUCUGCAGAGUAGCUGUUGACAUUAUAGUUGGGACCCUGAGAAAGGGCUACCACAUGCAAGGAAGGCAGCAGGCACGCAAAUGACCCACUCCCGAGGCGGGAAGGUAGUGACGACAAAUAACAAUACAGGACUCUUUAGAGGCCCUGUAAUUGUAAUGAGUCCACUUGAAAUCCUUUAACUCUGAUCAAUCGGAGGGAAGUCUGGUGCAGAGCCACUGACUUGUGCGUGCUGCAGCUAAAACUCCACUA